GACGAACGCUGGCGGCGUGCUUAACACAUGCAAGUCGAACGGUGAAGCUCCAGCUUGCUGGAGUGGAUCAGUGGCGAACGGGUGAGUAACACGUGAGCAACCUGCCCCUGACUCUGGAAUAAGCGCUGGAAACGGCGUCUAAUACUGGAUACGAGAAGGGUCCGCAUGGGCACUUUCUGGAAAGUUUUUCGGUUGGGGAUGGGCUCGCGGCCUAUCAGCUUGAUGGUGAGGUAAUGGCUCACCAAGGCGACGACGGGUAGCCGGCCUGAGAGGGCGACCGGCCACACUGGGACUGAGACACGGCCCAGACUCCUACGGGAGGCAGCAGUGGGGAAUAUUGCACAAUGGGCGAAAGCCUGAUGCAGCGACGCCGCGUGAGGGAUGACGGCCUUCGGGUUGUAAACCUCUUUCAGCAGGGAAGAAGCGAAAGUGACGGUACCUGCAGAAGAAGCACCGGCUAACUACGUG
Molecule: ribosomal RNA, 468 nt
Filed under: uncultured bacterium
Lineage: Bacteria
Description: partial 16S ribosomal RNA
Rfam family: Bacterial small subunit ribosomal RNA
Source: RNAcentral